AGUCUUGCUUUGUCUCCCAGCCUGGAGUGCAGUGGUGUGAUCACCGCUCACUGUAGCCUGAACCUCCCGGGCUCCAGUGACCCUCCCAUGUCAGCACCCAGAGUAGCUCGGACUACAGGCACAUGCCACUACACCCAGCCAAUUUUUGUAUGUUUAGUAGAG
This is a long non-coding RNA of Sapajus apella (tufted capuchin), 162 nucleotides long. RefSeq lists it as uncharacterized. NCBI's taxonomy places the organism in Eukaryota, Metazoa, Chordata, Mammalia, Primates, Cebidae. The transcript is spliced from 3 exons. The record is from RefSeq and is a predicted model, not a curated record.